AACGAACGCUGGCGGCACGUUUUAAGCAUGCAAGUCGAAUGGCAGCAGGGGCAACUCUGUGAGAAUGGCGAACGGGUGAGUAACACGUAGGUGAUCUGCCUUGAGGAUGGGGAUAGCCUGUGGAAACACAGGGUAAUACCGAAUGAGCUGACGAGACUUUGGUUUUGGUAGUAAAGAUGCUACGGCACCGCCUUGAGAGGAGCCUGCGGCUGAUUAGAUAGUUGGUGGGGCAAGAGCUUACCAAGGCGACGAUCAGUAGCAGGGCUGAGAGGGUGUACGGACACACUAGAACUGAGACACGGUGCGGACUCCUACGGUAGGCAGCAGCUAAGAAUCUUCCGCAAUGGACGAAAGCCUGACGGAGCGAUGCCGCGUGAUCGAUGAAGGUCGAGAGAUUGUAAAGAUCUUUUCUACAUGAGGAAUAAGUCUGGGAGGGAAUGCCCGGAUGAUGACGUUAGUGUAGGAAUAAGCCCCGGCUAAUCACGUGCCAGCCGCCGCCGUAA
RNAcentral lists this ribosomal RNA (503 nucleotides) under uncultured bacterium. Its description in RNAcentral is "partial 16S ribosomal RNA". It matches the Rfam family "Bacterial small subunit ribosomal RNA", at positions 29 to 523 of the family's 1533-position model. The record is from RNAcentral.